Molecule: ribosomal RNA, 940 nt
Filed under: Phragmidium tormentillae
Lineage: Eukaryota; Fungi; Basidiomycota; Pucciniomycetes; Pucciniales; Phragmidiaceae
Description: eukaryotic LSU rRNA
Rfam family: Eukaryotic large subunit ribosomal RNA
Source: RNAcentral
CGGAGGAAAAGAAACUAACCAGGAUUCCCCCAGUAACGGCGAGUGAAGAGGGAAAAGCCCAAAUUUGUAAUCUGGCUCUUUCAGGGUCCGAGUUGUAAUUUUGAGAACUGUUUUCAGUGCUGGACCAUUUCUAAGUCUGUUGAAAAAUAGCAUCAUUGAGGGUGAUAAUCCCGUUCAUGAUAUGGACUACCAGUGCAAUACGAUACAGUUUCUAAGAGUCGAGUUGUUUGGGAAUGCAGCUCAAAGUGGGUGGUAAAUUCCAUCUAAGGCUAAAUAUAGGUGAGAGACCGAUAGCAUACAAGUACCGUGAGGGAAAGAUGAAAAGAACUUUGGAAAGAGAGUUAAAAGUACGUGAAAUUGUUGUAAGAGAAACAUUUGAAGUUAGCCUUGUGCUUGUUAGUUCAGCUCUUUAACUAGGGUGUAUUCUGACAAUGUCACGGACCAACAUCAGUUUUUGGGUGCUGGAUAAGGGUCUUGGAAAUGUAGCAGCCUUGGCUGUGUUAUAGUCUAGGAUUUUGAUACAGUGCCUGGGACUGAGGAAUAUUUGCAGCAAGCCAGUCACAUGGCUGCCCUUUACAAAGGGCACCCCUGCUGAGGAUGUUGGUGUCAAUAGCUUUAAAUGACCCGUCUUGAAACACGGACCAAGGAGUCUAACAUGCUUGCGAGUAUUUGGGUGUUGAAACCCUGAUGCGAAAUGAACGUGAAUGUAAAUGGGAUCCUUUACUGGUGCACCAUUGACCAGUCCUGAUUAUUUAUAUGAAGGUACUGAGUAAGAGCAAGUAUGUUGGGACCCGAAAGAUGGUGAACUAUGCCUGAAUAGGGUGAAGCCAGAGGAAACUCUGGUGGAAGCUCGUAGCGAUUCUGACGUGCAAAUCGAUCGUCAAAUUUGGGUAUAGGGGCGAAAGACUAAUCGAACCAUCUAGUAGCUGGUUCCUGCCGA